RNAcentral lists this ribosomal RNA (194 nucleotides) under uncultured bacterium. RNAcentral describes it as "partial 16S ribosomal RNA". It matches the Rfam family "Bacterial small subunit ribosomal RNA", at positions 338 to 524 of the family's 1533-position model. The record is from RNAcentral.
CCUACGGGAGGCAGCAGUGGGGAAUAUUGCACAAUGGGCGCAAGCCUGAUGCAGCCAUGCCGCGUGUGUGAAGAAGGCCUUCGGGUUGUAAAGCACUUUCAGCGGGGAGGAAGGCGCCAAGGUUAAUAACCUUGGCGAUUGACGUUACCCGCAGAAGAAGCACCGGCUAACUCCGUGCCAGCAGCCGCGGUAAU